This is a long non-coding RNA of Gavialis gangeticus (Gharial), 103 nucleotides long. RefSeq lists it as uncharacterized. The record is from RefSeq and is a predicted model, not a curated record. The transcript has 3 exons. Lineage: Eukaryota; Metazoa; Chordata; Crocodylia; Gavialidae.
UGCACACGCUGGGCUGCUGCAUUGCUGCCCUGCCCCAGAACCAGCAGUCCAAGAUGAAGCUGGUUGUGGUUCCCUUCUGGGACAGCAAGCUGGCCUGUGUUUU